AGAAGAACCCUCUCAAAAAAAAAAAAACUACGCGUGGCGACCAGCACUGGCUGCGCACUCCCCCAACAUCCGCAGCAGCAACCACACAGCCGCAAUUGAGGCUACGGCGCGCACGACGUCGUCACUGUUUCUCCCCUCUCGCUCGCUCGCUCUUCCGUCGCUUCCACCGACGCUCUCACGGCGUGUGGUCGUGUCGACUGGCGCAGUUGUGUCGGUGAGGAGGAGAGCUUCCGCGUUCCUUCUCACGCUCUCUCUUCGAGUGAUCUCUGCUCUCUCGCCCUUUCAAGCAUCCCUUACCCGCAUACAAGUAAACGUGCCUUGCCGCAGCCCUACCAUGGCGGAGGUGACUUCACCGUACCGUGGCAGGGUAAAGGAGAUGUGGUCGGCACCGACGGCAGAUGUAGAGAGCGAAGCCGCCGCCGCCGCCGCCGCGCCGCCGCCGACGCAGCAGAGAAAGGUGUGCUUUAACGUGUGCCGCCAGGAGCCGUACCACCCAAGCAAAGGGUACCGGCACCUCGCGCGGAAGCUGCGGCAGGGCGGCACGGUAGAAAUAAACAAGGAGGACAUCACGCUGGACCGCUUGAGCGCCAGCGACAUCGUCCUCUUCCCUGCGCCGCAGACGCCCUUCUCGGAGGAGGACCUCACGGUGAUUCGGCAGUACGUGGAAGGUGGCGGCUCUGCCAUGAUCCUCCUAGGUGACGGCCACGGGGGGCAGUACUCGUACCUCAAUAAGACCCUCGACGACUGGACAGGGAUUACCAUCAAUGAGGAUUGCGUCGUGCGCACAGUUCUGCACCGCUACCUGCAUCCCAAGGAGGUGUGCGUAACCAACGGCAUCACAAACCGCGCCAUCAAUAAGGCCGCUGGCAAGAAGGUGUUCGGCGCCGUGGGCGGGUCGCCGAGCAGCGGCUUCGGUGGCGGGACGGGCAGCAUCGGGGCGAAGGGCGUCACCUCCACCAUGGGCAUCGGCUCCACGCUCAUGACGCUCAACCGCACGGUCGGUGCUGGGCAGGCAACAAACGCGGCGCGACUCGCGCAGAGCGCCACCGCGGGAAGUGCUGCGGCCAUAGCUGUCGAUGAGGCCGAACAGGAGGCCACCAGUCUGGUCUUUGUGUAUCCAUAUGGCCUCACCUUCAACGUGCAGCGGCCCGCCAUCCCGCUCCUCAGCAGUGGUUUCAUGGCGUACCCGCUGAACCGCCCGAUCGCGGCGGCGUGGGAGUGUCCAAAGGUGGCUGAGCACCUUGGCCGUCGCAAGCAGGGCAAGCUGCUGAUAAUCGGGUCGGCGCAGCUCUUCGAUGACGCGUGGAUUGAGAAAGAGGAGAACAGCACACUCGCCUCCAUCCUCUUCGACUACCUUGACCACAAGCUGAAGCUGAACCAGAUCGAUGCCGACGAGCCGGAUAUUACGGACUACCAUCACCUUCCUGAUACCGCCUCCCUAUCCGAGCGGUUGCGCGUCGCUGUAGAGCAGCACGAGGAGCUGCCGCGUGAUUUUACGCAGCUGUUCGAGCUAGAUUCGUUCAAGAUCGACACAGACAAAAUACCAGAUGUGGUGGACACCUACUCGAAGCUGUCCGUGAAGGUAGAGCCGCUGACACUGAUCCCGCCGGAGUUCCAGACGCCGCUGCCGCCGGUGAAGCCCGCCGUUUUUGAGGCGAUUCACCGCGACCCGCCCCCGCCUGGACUGGACCUCUUCGAUCUGGACGAGGAGUUCGCGCCGGAGCGGGUCCGACUCAGCCAGCUCACGAACAAGUGCAAGGCGGAUGACGUGGAGUACUACAUCUUGCAGGCGGCGGAGGUGAUGGGAGUAACGAAGAAAUUGCGCAGCCCACGAAACCGCGACCCGCGCGCGCUACUCGACUACGUGUUCCGCCAAGUGGUAGAGUACAAGAAGGUGAACAGCGGCCCUGUCGCGCCGCAGGAGGCCAGACAUGGCGAUGCCGCCUCUAGGGUGGCCGCGGCAGACAACGCCGCUGCCGCCGCCGCCGCUGAGAACAUGAUGCGCGUGAUUCGCGUCAGCAACGACGGCACCGGCGACGCGACCCCGUUCGACGAGAACCCACUCUGGAACCUCUACCUAGAGGCGGACUUUGCAAAGGGCACCAUCGAGGGUAACCUGCAACUGCUGCAGGACUCGAGCCGCUUCGGUGCACAGGAGGCGCGCAUCGAGGGCGACAUCAAGCCGCCAGGCGAGCGUGAGUACCCGAUGGAGUGGGGCGUCGUGCUAGACGCCGCCGAUGGCGAGCAGAUCAUCUACGUGUUCUUAGGAAUGAUCCAAGGCAACCAGCUGCGCGGCGUGUGUGAGCAGGGUGGCGGCGGCAACACCCGCAACUUCCUAUAUACGCUAGAAGAGCUGUAGCGCGGAAGCGGCGGCUGGGCGACUGUAGUUUGCCGGCGUCUCUAUCUAGCGAGCACAGUGUAUAUAUAUACAUAUUUUUUCUGUUGUUCUCUUGCCUCGCCGCUCGUCGUUGCGUGUGCGCCCCCCUCCCUCCUUACCGUUCUCGCACAGUCUUACCCCCUCUUACAUGGGAUUUUACUCGUUCUCGGCCUCCCGGCGUAUGCGUGUAGUGCACGCGUCUUGGUUGUGCGUGCAUUAGGACGUUUAUGCCUUCCCGCCUUUUACCCCGUGCGCAUGUGUGCGUGCGCGUCUUCAGCCACCCCAGUGCUCCCUUCUCUUCCUCGUUUCGCCAUCGCGCUUUUUUGUUGCUGCACCCCUCGUGGACAGUUUCGCAGGUGAAGAUUGUGCAUAGCUGCCUGGUCAUAUUGCGUAUGUGUGUGUAGAAGUGUAUCGUGAUGUCAGUGAUGUUGAUGUAUGUGCGCGUGUGCUAUGCUUCUUUCUCCCCCCUCCCCCAAACGCGUGGCGAGGCUCGCCGUCGCACACGGCGAACGAGGCGCACCUGUGUGCGUGUGCGUGCAGCCAAGCAACGGAGGACGAUAUGGAAGCGAGCGACUCGCUAGGGAGGGUGAGCGAAGGAGAGUUGAGAAGGGUGUGCAUCAUGUUACAGGAGGAGCGCCUUUAUGUUUUCUGAUGUAGAUAAGCGUGCCCGCCCCCCUCCUCACUCCCCCUACCCUUCCCUUCCUUUCGCGGGGAUCCGUGGGUUAAUGCGCCGCACACCGUGGGAUGAAGGCGGCGCGCUCCAAAUACGCACCAGACAAGAGAAGGGUAAGAACAACGGAAAAAAAAACGUUCAGCUCAGCAAGCAGCAUGUGCAGAGUCACUGCGUGUGCUUGCCGAUCGUGUAACCGACGAGGGUGGCCGCUAGGAUGACAGCGGAGGCAGCAG
RNAcentral lists this unclassified non-coding RNA (3283 nucleotides) under Leishmania donovani. RNAcentral's name for it is "gene:LdHU3.19.0370(CDS-product:intraflagellar_tra nsport_protein_52_putative)". The record is from RNAcentral. Lineage: Eukaryota; Euglenozoa; Kinetoplastea; Trypanosomatida; Trypanosomatidae.